UAAGUGACGGUGUCGCUUUAUUUAAUUGAAUUGGUGUGCUCAAACCGGUUUGUGCGAAAUGACAACAUGGUUAAUGUCAUUCGCAAAAUCAUAACGCGGUGAAGUAUCAUAUUGAUGUAUUGUAAUCUUUGGUGGUAUAACGACAUGAAAUUGUCGAAUCCAUUGAAUAGAAGGAAUCCAAAUUAUUCAAUGCAAUGAGAAAUAAAAAUCAACACGAACCCAAUAUUAUUUACAAAAAUAAAAAAAAUAAAAAAAAAGGUUAAAACAAAUGCAGGUCUUCCUCUCCCUACUUAUGAACAAACAAUUCUUAAUUCCCCAAUAACACAUCUUACAAACAAAUUGAGAGGGAAAAAAAGCAAACAAAUCCCAAUGUGAAUUAAAAUAAGAGGAGGAGGAGUGUGUUAAGUGACAAUCACCAUAUAAUCUAGCAAAUAUUGUUCAUACAAAUCGAAUUGCAGUACACCUUGUUAUUGCAUUACCAUAAGAAACUUAACAUGCUACAAGCUAAUUCACCAAGUAUUUUCUAACAAUAACAACUUCAGCUUAAAAUAAUAAUAAUAAUCAGCAUGACCAACAAGAUGAUCAACGGAUCCAAGUUCGUAAUUACAAUCAAAUAACAAUCAUCUAGUAAUUAUUUUGCAAAUUUGAAAAAAAAAGAAUUACAUUGAAACCAACGUGAUAAAACAACUAGCAAUAGGUUCCAGUAAAUUUAGAACUCAUCCACUUAAGUUGACAUGAAUAUAAGCUAUCAAAUGAAAUUAUUAAAAACAGCAUGCCAACUUUAGAAGUCAUCCACUUAUUUUAAGUGGAACAUAAGCCACCAAAUACUAUUAUUAAAACCAGAAUACCAACCGUGACCUUAAAAGAUAUCCAACAUAAUGUACUUAAUUAACUUCAACAUAAAUGAUUAAACACCACACAAAGUCGAAUAAGAAAAUACUGUGUAAUUGGAAUAACCACACACACAAACAUCCAGCAAUACAACAGAAUCAAACCGAAAUCAAUACCAGAGUAACAGUAAGUUCAAAAUUUACCGUCAUCGUAACAUUGUUGCCGAAGUUCGUUUGUAGCUUCUUCUUUUUUUCGAGCUUUCAACGGAUUGUAUUCCCUUUCCUUCAACACAUUCUCCUUCAAUGUAUUCGGUAUGUUCCAGUUGUGGGUUUAGAAGCCAUAGACAUCUUUGUCCAUACCUAACGGCACCGUCACAGAUCCGCUUUUGAGUAGUCACGUUGACAACGGAAGGGAUGCGUAUGGUUGUUUCACGGUUGAGGGGAAACGAGAGUAAGUUUAUGCCGGCGGUUAAGAUGAAGACAGCGAAAAUGAAAAAUAGAGGAAUUUUGGUGGUUGUGAUGGUGAGUGUUUGAUUGUGAGAAUCGUCGGCGAGACGGUUGAAGAGUUGUGGAGAUGCGGUGACGCGUCAGUUUCAUUUGUGUGGUUAAGGUUGUUUUCCGACAGUGGCUAUGGUAGUUGGAGGGUUUCUCGAUGAUGGAAGUUAUGGGUGGGUGUCCAACGUUUAGUUCGUCGGUGAUGGCGGAGGAGCUUUGGAGGUUAUUCGCGGUGGUCUGAGGCUCGCCGGAGCGAGUUGUUUUAAGGUGGCUAGGUUAAGGUUGUGUGAGAGUGGUUGGUUCUGUUGAAGAGAUGGAUGGGGUUUGGUUUGAAAGGUAUUGAAUGGUCAUGUUUUUUCUUUAGGUUGUUAUAUGGAGUAUGUUUUAUGGAGUAUGUUGUUGAAUGAGGAAAAGAGUUAUGGAUGGAUACAUGUUUUUUACAUGGUGGAAAAGAGGAAGCUUGAUGAAUAGCGGUUGUGUAGGUUGAGUUUCAAGAAAAUCAGCUUUUUCUUCAAAGUAGGUGGAAAGUUUUCUUUUCCCUUUUUUUUGAAAAAGGAGGUCGAGAAAGAGACUUCAUUUUUGUGAGAGUAGCCUCUUUGUUGUGAGUAGGGGUGGCAAUUGGAUCCAUUAAGAGAAAAUCCAUCCAAUCCAUCCAUCAAAAAAUUCAUCCAAUCCAUCCACUACAUAAAAAAUUAAGUUAAUGGAUUGAUCCAAUCCAUCCAUUUAUAAACAUGGAUUGAUCCAAUCCAUCCAACACAUUUUAAUGAUCCAAUGGAUUUUUUUAUCUAAUUUUAAAAAAAUAUUUUUCAAAUAUUAAAUUUUUUUAUAAAAAAUAAAAAAAAAUAAUUUUUUUAUUUGAAAAAAAAUCAAUUUUUUUUUCGAAAAUAAAUCAUUUUUUUUUAAAAUACAAAAAAUCGAUUUUUUCCAAAAAUUAAAAAUAAAAAAAAAUCUUAUUUUAAAUUAGAAAUUGAUAUUGUUUUUUACGAAUAUAAAAAAAAAUUUACGAAUAUAAAAAAAUUUUAAAUUAUUUUUUUCAAAAAUACAAAAAUAUAUAUUUUUUUGAAAAAAAAAUAAUUUUUCUCAAAAAAAAAAACUGAUAUUGUUUUAUUAAAAAAAGUAAAAAACUUUUUAAAAAAAAUAAAUUUCAAAGAAAAAUUUUAAAGGAAAAAAAAAUGGAUGGAUGGAUAUCCAUCCACUAAAAAUAUGAUAAUGGAUGGAUUGGAUGGAUUUUUAUUCUUAAUGGAUGGAUUGGAUUGGAUAUUUUUAAAAAACUUUUAGUGGAUUGUUAAUGGAUAAUGGAUUGUUUUGAUCCAUCCAUUAACGAUCCAAUCCAUAUCCAUCCAAUCCAUCCAUUUUACCACCCCUAGUUGUGAGUGUGAGUAUUGAGUGGAGAGAGAGCGAAGGGAAGCGUGAGAGAGUGAUGGAAAUCUGUGUGAGAGGAUUUUUUUUGUGGAUUGGAGAGAGCCUCAAGAUUUUCUCCAUUAUUUCUUCACUUCAUUUUAUUAUUAAUUAAUUCGACUUUUUAUAGAUGAAUAGCAACACACAUGGUGUGCCAAUAUUGAUCACUGAUUAAUUUGAAUCAUCCAUUCAGAGUAAAAUAAACCAAUCAAAAUUGCAAUGUUAUCUUUUUUAAAUGAUUUAAUUGGUUUAAAGGGGAUUAAAUUAAUCAAUUCAAAUAAAAAUUCACAAAUUCCUAAAUAAAUAUGAUAAAAGUGAAAUGAAACGUGGAAAUUCCUAUUUAUUCAACCCGAAUAUUUUGGCGAAAGAAUAAAAUUAAAAGGGCUAACAAUGAAUAAAAGUCAGGCAAAAAUUUGCUCAAAAAAUUAAAUCGGAUGUACUAAAAUGAUCAGCACAAAAUAUACUUAUUAAAAAAAUACAGUGUUUCUUCAAAUUCUGAAAUAAAUUUGCACCGGUAAAAAGGCUCAGGCGGGUUAAAACGCAGCUGAAACAGUCAUUGAAAAAUAUGACGAGCACACCAGGUUAAACUACGUGAACCGUAGAUUAAUAAUACUGGUGUCUGCAAUUUUAAUUUCGAAAUUUUUUAUCCGCUGAUUUUGUCCAUACUUGAGGAAAGAUUCACCUGAUUUGUCUGUAUUUUCAAUAAAUUUAUUAUGACUGAUAUUUUAGUUGUUAUAUAUGAUGCAAAUUAAAAAUGAAAUCGAUUUUACAAAAAUUUAAAUAUGCCCGGACAAAAUUGGGGUAUGACAGUUGCCCCUAUUUCAUUAUCUUGAACUAGAAGGUAAGAAUGACAACAAUCUUCAUAUAUUCGUAGUGGAAGGUAAUUAAAUACGAAAAGACCCAAAUUUUGUCCUUUGAAAUGUAAGGAAGAAAUACGGAAACAAAAUGCAGUGAGAAAUACAGUAAGAAAAAUUAUCAAAAAGGUAAAAUGAAACAGUCGAGACUCUCUGGGAAUCGUCAGAACAUUAUCUUGGAUGUCAUAAUCGAGAUAUUCCGAUAAUGGAAUGAUACCUCAACUGCAUCUAAGACUUUCUGGAAAAUCAGUAGAACAGUGUCUUGAGCUGAGCACAAGGGAUUUUUUGAGUAUCAAUGAAGCAGUAUCCCAUAUGAUAUAAUCGAGAUAUUUCAACAAGGGAGUGAUACCUCAACCGUAACUAAGAUUCUCCGAGGAUACUUAGAGGAAUACCUCUAAAAAUUAAAACCUGGAAUGAGACUCUUGAUAUUGAUGAAGCAGCAUCUUAAACAGCAAAAAUGAGAUUCUCUGUAUCGAGUCGAAGCAGCAUCUUAUCUGAUAGAAUUAAGAUAUUCCAGACCAAAGGAAUGAUGUCUUAAUUAAAUCUAAGACUCUUCGAGGAUACUAGAGCAAUAUCUCUAAAAAAAACUAGAAUGAGACUCUUCAUAUUGAUGAAACAGUAUUUCAAACAGUAAAAAUGAGAUUCUCUGUAUCGAGUUUAAGCAACAUCUUAUAUGAUAGAAUUAAGAUGUUCCAGCAAGGGAAAGAUACCUUAAUUGAAUCUAAGACUCUCCGGGGAUAUUAGAGUAGUAUCUCUAAAGAAACUAAAAUGAGACUCUUCAUAUUGAUGAAGCAGUAUCUCAAACAGUAAAAAUGAGAUUCUCUGUAUCGAGUCGAAGCAACAUCUUAUAUGAUAGAAUUAAGAUGUUCCAGUAAGGGAAAGAUACCUUAAUUGAAUCUAAGACUCUCCGAGGAUAUUAAAGCAGCAUCUCUAAAAAAAAUCUGGAAUGAGACUCUUCAUAUUGAUGAAGCAGCAUCUCAAACAGCAAAAAUGAGAUUCUCUAUAUCGAGUCGAAACAGCAUCUUAUCUGAUAGAAUUAAGAUAUUCCAGACCAAAGGAAUGACGUCUUAAUUGAAUCUAAGACUCUUCGAGGAUACUAGAGCAGUAUCUCUAAAAAAUCUGGAAUGAGACUCUUCAUAUUGAUGAAGCAGCAUCUCAAACAACAAAAAUGAGAUUCUCUGUAUUGAGUCGAAGCAGCAUCUUAUCUGAUAAAAUUAAGAUAUUCCAGACCAAAGGAAUGAUGUCUUAAUUGAAUCUAAGACUCUUCGAGGAUACUAGAUCAAUAUCUCUAAAAACAAAUGAGAUUCUUCAAAUUGAUGAAGCAGUAUCUCAAACAGAGAAAUGAGAUUCUUCAAAUAAAUGAAGCAGUAUCUCGAAUAUUCGUCUGUUGGGGGAAAUUUUUGGAAAAGACUCCUUUUGGAGGAAAUAUAUUGGCAAAGCUCUGCGUGGGGGAAAGCUCAUAAGAUACUUUUUAUGGUAACCUCUGCUUGGGGAGCAAUGCUAGCAAAGAAAAUGCUGGGAAUAUCAUUAUUAAUCAUAAAGUUAAAAAAUGAUUUGUUAAGAAAUAAUUCCACGAGCACAUACAGGAUAAUAACUUUAUAGAAUUUAGAUGGAGAGUGUCUAGGGUACAUAUGAAUGAACCUGGAUCUUGAUAUUUUGUUAUGUUUGAUUUUUGUAUGAUGUUCCACUUUGGGUGGAAAUACCAUGCAUGGGAGGAUGCAUGAGAUGCACGCAAUAUGCAAUGGCUGGGGAUAUUUAGGAUGUGCAUGUAAGAAUGCGAAUGAUUUUGUUCGUUUUUUGAUGAAAUUACCGUUUUAUGGGAGUGCUAUGCAUGGGGAUGCGGGUGAUUGAUAUGAUUGUGUUUGAUGAAAUUCCUAUUUGGUAGGAAAAUUAUGCAUGAAAUGAUACAUGUGGGAAUGCAACCGGAUAUUUGGAUAUUGUUUGUAGGAUUUUAUUUUUUCAAUGAGAUUAUUGGGGAAUGUCAUCAUCAAGGGAUUGAUGGAAGAUAGUGAAUGUCGAUAUCAAGGGGUUGAUGGACAGGUAAAUGUCAUCGUCAAAGGGUUGACGGAAAAGAUUUCCAUCAUCAGAGGGCUGAUGGGAAAGAAAUUGUCAUCAUCAAAGGGUUGACGGAAAGAAACUUCACUAUGGAGUGACAUCAACAAAGGAUUGGUGGAAAAGACUGUCAAUCAUCAGAGGGCUGAUGGAAAGGUGACUAUCAUCGUCAAAAGGUUGAUGGAAAGGUAAUUGUCAUCGUCAAAGGGUUGACAAAAUAUAAUUGAAUAUGUAGGGUCAUCGUCAAAGGGUUGACGGAAGAGAACUGUCAUCAUCAAAUGGCUGAUGGAAGAGGUAAAGAAAGACAUCACCAAAGGGUUGGUGGAAAAGGAAUUAUGUAUGUAAUAUCAUCGUCAAAGGGUUGACGGAAAGAAAUUGUCAUCAUUAGAGGGCUGAUGGAAAAGAGUUUGUCAUCGUCAAAGGGUUGACGGAAAGAAACUUCACUAGGGAGUGGCAUUAUCAAAUGGUUGAUGGAAAAGGACGACCAUCAUCAGAGGGAUGACGGAAAAGAGACCUCACUCUGGAGCGGCAUCACCAGAGGGUUGGUGGAAAAGGAAUUUUGUAAAAUAUCGUCAUCAGAGGGCUGAUGGAAAAGAUUGUCAUCGUCAAAGGGUUGACGGAAAUAAAAAUUCAGGUUAUGUCCUCAUCAAAGGGUUGAUGGAAAGGACUUAUUAUGUUAUGUAUGCAUAUGAUGCAUGUCAAUGGAAAUUUCUCGUCUCUGUGAGAGAGCAUUUUGCUAUGCGACUUCCUGAUUUGGCAGGAAAGUUAUGCGUUUUUAUUGUAUGCAGUGCACGUGGUAAUGCAAGAUGAAUAUUGGUUGUUUUUUGGAUUGAUCUCCCUUUUUUUUCGAAGGUGGGACUUUCUAGUUACCAAUGUUGAUUGGAUUUGAGUUUAUGAAGAUGCCAACAAAGUGGGCUUUUACUUUUGGUAGUUGCCAAUAUGGAUUAGACUUUUGAUUGGUGAAAGGCUUUGACUUCUCGACACUUUGUAUUUGAUAAUGUGAUGAUUGGGUGAUAGACAUGGAUGCUCUUGGUGCCCCAUGUAACAAUCCAAUUUUAGUAUUUAUUUAUUAUACUAUUAUUAUUAUAUUUUAUUUUAAUUAUGUGGAGUGUUAAUUAAUUAAUUGGUUGUUAGGUAGUAUAAUAAUUGAUUAUAUUAAUUAAUUUUGGUGUGUUAAAUUUUAUUUUAAUUAUGUGGAGUGUUAAUUAAUUAAUUGGUUGUUAGGUAGUAUAAUAAUUGAUUAUAUUAAUUAAUUUUGGUGUGUUAAUUAAUUAUUUAGUUGAUAUGAGAUAGAAUUAAAUAAUUAUAUUAAUUAACUUAGUGUGUAUGUGGGGUUAGUUUAAUUUAAUUGAACUAAUUAGAGAUAUUUAAAUAUUAGGUCUUAUUGGGCCUAUUAAUUAAAUUAGAAAUAUCACUCUUUAAGCCCAAAUAGAAUACUAGUAUAUAAGAGGGGAGGGGAGUAAGAAUUAGGAUUUAUUUGAUCAUUUGAAGGCAAUAGAGAAAGAGGAGAGGAAAAGUAAAGAGAAGAACUAGGGUUUCCAGAAAAUUGAAGAGGUAAGGGGAGAAUCCUUAUUAUUAUGGGUUAGUAUGAUUGGAUCAAUGGGUAGAUGUAUGUUAGGUUAAAAUUUCCCAAUUUUGUAUGGUUGUUUGAAAUUGUUAAGUGUGAUGAUUAUGCUUGAUUGUGGUGAUUGAUUGUGUUAAAACUGCAAAUUAACGUUAUAUAUUUGGAGUAUUGUGUGAGUUAUAAUUUUCUGAACGUUUGGAUUUUACGGAAUCGAAAUCGGAGGUCCGGAAGUCCUCCAACGAUGAAAACUGCAGAAAAUUCUGCAUGCUGUCCGUCACAAUCGCGGCCCUUUUUUAUGUUUUAUUGUCGAAAUCGUUUUGGUCAUAACUUUUGAUCCGUAAGUCCAAAUUGAGUACCAUUUGAAGCGUUAGAUAGCUGAGACAGAAGGCUAUAACUUUGUUUCAGGAAGAAAAUAAUUUUGGAGAUUAUUUCAUGGACGUUUUUGGGGUUGAAGAAGAUGAAAAUUAUGUUGGAAAAUUUAGAAAACAACAACUUUUUAGUAACGCCUUCGUGCACGGUUUUAUUCAUUACUUUCAACUCGUGAAUCAUCUUGGGUUGGGGUUUAAAGCAUUAGAAAGGUGACUCUAAUAGAUAUUAUAUGAAUGGUGUAUUUGUUAUGAAUGUGUAUAUAUACCAUUGGUGGAUUGUGAAUGAUAUAUUGUUAUGAAUGUGUAUAUGUACCAUUGGUGGAUUGUGAAUGAUAUAUUGUUAUGAAUGUAUUUAUGUACCAUUGGUGGAUUGUGAAUGAUAUAUUGUUAUGAAUGUGUUUAUGUGCCAUUGGUGGUAUUGUGAAUGAUAUAUUAUUUAUGAAUGUGUAUAUGUACAUUGGGUGGAUAAGUUCAUAGAGUUGAAUUAUGGUGAUAUGUGGAAUGUUAAGAUGGUAGAGAUGAUCUUAAUUGCAUAUGUAUUGGUAUUUGUACAUUCAUUCAUGGCAUGCAUGGUCAGCUUCAUGGUGGAAGCGGUGAAACUGUGGGUUCACAUGGUAAAUAGACGUUGAUCCUUAAUUGGAAAUAGGCGUAGCAGACGUUGAUCCUUAAUUGGAAACAGGCGUGGUAAAUAGACGUUGAUCCUUCAUUGGAAAUAGGCGUAGCGGACGUUGAUCCUUAAUUGGAAACAGACAUGGUAAAUAGACGUUGAUCCUUAAUUGGAAAUAGGCGUAGCAGACGUUGAUCCUUAAUUGGAAAUAGGCGUAGCAGACGUUGAUCCUUAAUUGGAAACAGGCGUGGUAAAUAGACGUUGAUCCUUAAUUGGAAAUAGGCGUAACAGACGUUGAUCCUUAAUUGGAAACAGACGUGGUAAAUAGACGUUGAUCCUUAAUUGGAAAUAGGCGUAGCAGACGUUGAUCCUUAAUUGGAAAUAGGCGUGGUAAAUAGACGUUGAUCCUUAAUUAGAAAUAGGCGUAGCAGACGUUGAUCCUUAAUUGAAAUAGACGUGGUGGCUUGGAUUCUAGAUAUUGAAAUGGCAAGUGGUGAAACGUUGGGUUCACAUUAUUGGUACCACAUGCAUAGAGCCACAUGUCAUGCAUUGAGUCACACUGGAGUUAAUGUGAUAAAUUGAAUGUUUGCAUUGAUGUGAUUAUGAUGUGUGUAUGAGAUAUGGUAAUUGAAUUUGAUGAUGUUUGGAGUUAUGUGUUAUUGAAGUUUGCAUUGAUGUGAUUGGAUGUGUGUAUGAGAUAUGGUAAUUGAAUUUGAUGAUGUUUGGAUACAUAACUUGACUGAAUAUGUGAUUAUGUGAUAAUUGUAGUUAUGUGUAUAUUUGAGAAUAUAAUAUUGGAUUUGAGUAUUAUACUCCUUGAGCUUUUAUGUGUGCUUGAAACAUGUGAAAUAAAUAUUGGUUAAUAUUAUUUACAUGGUUAUAUGAAGUGUGAUGAAUUCCUUUAAUUGUUGAUUUAAUCAUUGUGCUUGAUUAUACUUCUUCAUAAUGAUUUGAAUUCUCACCCUUUCUGUUUGAAUGUUAUCUUUACAUGGGUAUCGUGCAGAUACUCAGGAGUAGUAUUGCUGAAGUAAGUGAGCGGUAGCACUCGAGAUUAGCUGGAGAGCUUCGGUGCUUUAUUUUAGAGACUAAGUAGUGAGUCAAUGCUCUGGUCAUGUAACACUGGGUAGAUUGGUAGUAUUGAACUCGUGUCUUAUUUGGAUACGUUUUAUGGUAUUACUUGUGAACAUGUUUAAUUGAAGAGAUUAUUGAGAGAUGAUCAUGGUAUGGGNUGUAUUUUCAAUAAUUUAUUAUGACUGAUAUUUUAGUUGUUAUAUAGAUGCAAAUUAAAAAUAAAUCGAUUUUACAAAAAUUUAAAUAUGCCCGGACAAAAUUGGGGUAUGACAGUUGCCCCUAUUUCAUUAUCUUGAACUAGAAGGUAAGAUGACAACAAUCUUCAUAUAUUCGUAGUGGAAGGUAAUUAAAUACGAAAAGACCCAAAUUUUGUCCUUUUGAAAUGUAAGGAAGAAAUACGGAAACAAAAUGCAGUGAGAAAUACAGUAAGAAAAAUUAUCAAAAAGGUUAAAAUGAAACAGUCGAGACUCUCUGGGAAUCGUCAGAACAUUAUCUUGGAUGUCAUAAUCGGAUAUUCCGAUAAUGGAAUGAUACCCAACUGCAUCUAAGACUUUCUGGAAAAUCAGUAGAACAGUGUCUUGAGCGAGCACAAGGGAUUUUUGAGUAUCAAUGAAGCAGUAUCCCAUAUGAUAUAAUCGAGAUAUUUCAACAAGGAGUGAUACCGAACCGUAACUAAGAUUCUCCGAGAUACUUAGAGGAAUACCUCUAAAAUUAAAACCUGGAAUGAGACUCUUGAUAUUGAUGAAGCAGCAUCUUAAACAGCCAAAAUGAGAUUUCUCUGUAUCGAGUCGAAGCAGCAUCUUAUCUGAUAGAAUUAAGAUAUCCAGACCAAAGGAAUGAUGUCUUAAUUAAAUCUAAGACUCUUCGAGGAUACUAGAGCAAUAUCUCUAAAAAAAACUAGAAUGAGACUCUUCAAUAUGAUGAAACAGUAUUUCAAACAGUUAAAAAUGAGAUUCUCUGUAUCGAGUUUAAGCAACAUCUUAUAUGAUAGGAUUAAGAUGUUCCAGCAAGGGAAAAACCUUAAUUGAAUCUAAGACUCUCCGGGGAUAUUAGAGUAGUAUCUCUAAAGAAACUAAAAAUGAGGACUCUUCAUAUUGAUGAAGCAGUAUCUCAACCAGUAAAAAUGAGAUUCUCUGUAUCGAGUCGAAAGCAACAUCUUAUAUGAUAGAAUUAAGAGAUGUUCCAGUAAGGGAAAGAUACCUUAAUUGAAUCUAAGACUCUCCGAGAUAUUAAAGCAGCAUCUCUAAAAAAAAUCUGGAAUGAGACUCUUCAUAUUGAUGAAGCAGCAUCUCAACAGCAAAAUGAGAUCUCUAUAUCGAGUCGAAACAGCAUCUUAUCUGAUAGAAUUAAGAUAUUUCCAGACCAAAGGAAUGACGUCUUAAUUGAAUCUAAGACUCUUCGAGGAUACUAGAGCAGUAUCUCUAAAAAAUCUGGAAUGAGACUCUUCAAUUGAUGAAGCAGCAUCUCAAACAACAAAAAUGAGAUUCUCUGUAUUGAGGUCGAAGCAGCAUCUUAUUCUGAUAAAAUUAAGAUAUUCCAGACCAAAGGAAUGAGGUCUUAAUUGAAUCUAAGACUCUUCGAGGAUACUAGAUCAAUAUCUCUAAAAACAAAUGAGAUUCUUCAAAUUGAUGAAGCAGUAUCUCAAACAGAGAAAUGAGAUUCUUCAAAUAAAUGAAGCAGUAUCUCGAAUAUUCGUCUGUUGGGGGAAAUUUUGGAAAAGACUCCUUUGGAGGAAAUAUAUUGGCAAAGCUCUGCGUUGGGGGAAAGCUCAUAGAUACUUUUAUGGUAACCUCUGCUUGGGGAGCAAUGCUAGCAAGGAAAAUGCUGGGAAUAUCAUUAUUAAUCAUAAAGUUAAAAAAUGAUUUGUUAAGAAAUAAUCCACGAGCACAUACAGGUAAUAACUUUAUAGAAUUUAGAUGGAGAGUGUCUAGGGUACAUAUGGAAUGAACCUGGAUCUUGAUAUUUGUUAUGUUUGAUUUUGUAUGAUGUUCCACUUUGGGUGGAAAUACCAUGCAUGGCGAGGAUGCAUGAGAUGCACGCAAUAUGCCAUGGCUGGGGAUAUUUAGGAUGUGCAUGUAAGAAUGCGAAUGAUUUUGUUCGUUUUUUGAUGAAAUUACCGUUUUAUGGGAGUGCUAUGCAUGGGGAUGCGGUGUGAUUGAAUUGAUUGUGUUGAUGAAAUUCCUAUUUGGUAGGAAAAUUAUGCAUGAAAUGAUACAUGUGGGAAUGCACCGGAUAUUUGGAUAUUGUUUGUAGGAUUUUUAUUUUUUCAAUGAGAUUAUUGGGAAUGUCAUCAUCAAGGAUUGAUGGAAGAUAGUGAAUGUCGAUAUCAAGGGUUGAUGGACAGGUAAAUGUCAUCGUCAAAGGGUUGACGGAAAAGAUUUCCAUCAUCAGAGGGCUGAUGGGAAAGAAAUUGUCAUCAUCAAAAGGGUUGACGGAAAAAACUUCACUAUGGAGUUGAAUCAACAAAGGAUUGGUGGAAAAGACUGGUCAAUCAUCAGAGGGCUGAUGGAAAGGUGACUAUUUCGUCAAAAGGUUGAUGGAAAGGUAAUUGUCAUCGUCAAGGUUGACAAAAUAUAAAUGAAUAUGUAGGGUCAUCGUCAAAGGGUUGACGGAGAGAACUGUCAUCAUCAAAUGGCUGAUGGAAGAGGUAAAGAAGACAUCACCCAAAGGGUUGGUGGAAAAGGAAUUAUGUAUGUAAUAUCAUCGUCAAAGGGUUGACGGAAAGAAAUUGUCAUCAUUAAAGGGCUGAUGAAAAGAGUUUGUCACGUCAAAGGGUUGACGGAAAGAAACUUCACUAGGGAGUGGCAUUAUCAAAUGGUGAUGGAAAAGGCACGACCAUCAUCAGAGGGAUGACGGAAAAGGACCUCACUCUGGAGCGGCAUCACCAGAGGGUUGGUGGGAAAAGGAAUUUUGUAAAAUAUCGUCAUCAGAGGGCUGAUGGAAAAGAUUGUCAUCGUCAAAGGGGUGACGGAAAUAAAAAUUCAGGUUAUGUCCUCAUCAAAGGGUUGAUGGAAAGGACUUAUUAUGUUAUGUAUGCAUAUUGAUGCAUGUCAAUGGAAAAUUUCUCGUCUCUGUGAGAGAGCAUUUUGCUAUGCGACUUCCUGAUUUGGCAGGAAGUUAUGCGUUUUUUAUUGUAUGCAGUGCACGUGUAAUGCAAGAUGAAUAUUGGUUGUUUUUUUGGAUUGAUCUCCUUUUUUUCGAAGGUGGGACUUUCUAGUUACCAAUGUUGAUUGGAUUUGAGUUUAUGAAGAUGCCAACAAAGUGGCUUUUACUUUUGGUAGUUGCCAAUAUUGGUUAGACUUUUGAUUGGUGAAAGGCUUUGACUUCUCGACACUUUGUAUUUGAUAAUGUGAUGAUUGGGUGAUGACAUGGAUGCUCUUGGGUGCCCCAUGUAACAAUCCAAUUUUAGUAUUUAUUUAUAUACUAUUAUAUUAUUUUUAUUUUAAUUAUGUGGAGUGUUUAAUUAAUUAAUUGGUUGUUAGGUAGUAUUAAUAAUUGAUUAUAUUAAUUAAUUUGGUGUGUUAAUUAAUUAUUUAGUUGAUAUGAGAUAGAAUUAAAUAAUUAUAUUAAUUAACUUAGUGUGUAUGUGGGGUUAGUUUAAUUAAUUGAACUAAUUAGAGAUAUUUAAAUAUUAGGUCUUAUGGGCCUAUUAAUUAAAUUAGAAAUAUCACUCUUUAAGCCCAAAUAGAAUACUAGUAUAUAAGAGGGGGGGGAGUAAGAAUUAGGAUUAUUUGAUCAUUUGAAGGCAAUAGAAAAGAGGAGAGGGAAAGUAAAGAGAAGAACUAGGGUUUCCAGAAAUUGAAGAGGUAAGGGGAGAAUCCUUUAUUAUAUGGGUUAGUAUGAUUGGAUCAAUGGGUAGAUGUAUGUAGGUUAAAAUUUCCCAAUUUUGUAUGGUUGUUUGAAAUUGUUAAGUGGGAUGAUUAUGCUUGAUUGUGGUGAUUGAUUGUGUUAAAACUGCAAAUUAACGUUAUAUAUUUGGAGUAUUGUGUGAGUUAUAAUUUCUGAACGUUUGGAUUUUACGGAAUCGAAAAUCGGAGGUCCGGAAGUCCUCCAACGAUGAAAACUGCAGAAAUUCUGCCUGCUGUCCGUCACAAUCGCGGCCCUUUUUAUGUUUUAUUGUCGAAAUCGUUUUGGUCAUAACUUUUGAUCCGUAAGUCAAAUUGAGUACCAUUUGAAGCGUUAGAUAGUGAGACAGAACAUAUAACUUUGUUUCAGGAAGAAAAUAAUUUUGGAGAUAUUUCAUGGACGUUUUGGGUUGAAGAAGAUGAAAAUUAUGUUGGAAAAUUUAGAAAACAACACUUUUUAGUAACGCCUUCGUGCACGGUUUUAUUCAUUAAUUUCAACUCGUGAUCAUCUUGGGUUGGGGUUUAAAGCAUUAGAAAGGUGACUCUAAUCAGUAUUAUAUGAAUGGUGUAUUUGUUAGAAUGUGUAUAUAUACCAUUGGUGGAUUGUGAAUGAUAUAUUGUUAUGAAUGUGUAUAUGUACCAUUGGUGGAUUGUGAAUGAUAUAUUGUUAUGAAUGUAUUAUGUACCAUUGGUGGAUUGGGAAUGAUAUAUGUUAUGAAUGUGUAUAUGUACCAUUGGUGGAUUUGUGAAUGAUAUUAUUGUUAUGAAUGUGUAUAUGUACCAUUGGUGGAUUGUGAAUGAUAUAUUGUUAUGAAUGUGUUUAUGUGCCAUUGGUGGUAUUGUGAAUGAUAAUUAUUAUGAAUGUGUAUAUGUACCAUUGGUGGAUAAUUCAUAGAGUUGAAUUAUGGUGAUAUGUGGAAUGUUAAGUGGUAGAGAUGAUCUAAUUGCAUAUGUAUUGGUAUUUGUACAUUCAUUCAUGCAUGCAUGCAGUCAGCUUCAUGUGGAAGCGGUGAAACUGUGGGUUCACAUGGUAAAUAGACGUUGAUCCUUAAUUGGAAAUAGGCGUAGCAGACGUUGAUCCUUAAUUGAAACAGGCGUGGUAAAUAGACGGUGAUCCUUCAUUGGAAAUAGGCGUAGCGGACGUUGAUCCUUAAUUGGAAACAGACAUGGUAAAUAGACGUUGAUCCUAAUUGGAAAUAGCGUAGCAGACGUUGAUCCUUAAUUGAAAUAGGCGUAGCAGACGUUGAUCCUUAAUGGAAACACAGGCGUGGUAAAAGACGGUAUCCUUAAUUGGAAAUAGGCGUAACAGACGUUGAUCCUUAAUUGGAAACAGACGUGGUAAAUAGACGUUGAUCCUUAAUUGGAAAUAGGCGUAGCAGACGUUGAUCCUUAAUUGGAAAAGCGUGGUAAAUAGACGUUGAUCCUUAAUUAGAAAUAGGCGUAGCAGACGUUGAUCCUAAUUGAAAUAGACGUGGUGGCUUGGAUUCUAGAUAUUGAAAUGGCAAGUGGUGAAACGUUGGGUUCACAUUAUUGGUACCACAUGCAUAGAGCCACAUGUCAUGCAUUGAGUCACACUGGAGUAAUGUGAUAAUUGAAUGUUUGCAUUGAUGUGAUUAUGAUGUGUGUAUGAGAUAUGGUAAUUGAAUUUGAUGAUGUUUGGAGUUAUGUGUUAUUGAAGUUUGCAUUGAUGUGAUUGUGAUGUGUGUAUGAGAUAUGGUAAUUGAAUUUGAUGAUGUUUGGAUACAUAACUGACUGAAUAUGUGAUUAUGUGAUAAUUGUAGUUAUGUGUAUAUUUGAGAAUAUAAUAUUUGGAUUUGAGUAUUAUACUCCUGAGCUUUUAUGUGUGCUUGAAACAUGUGAAUAAAAUAUUGGAUAUUAUUUACAUGGUUAUAUGAAGUGUGAUGAAUUCCUUUAAUUGUUGAUUUAAUCAUUGUGCUUGAUUAUAACUUCUUCAUAAUGAUUUGAAUUCUCACCUUUCUGUUUGAAUGUAUCUUUACAUGGGUAUCGUGCAGAUACUCAGGAGUAGUAUUGCUGAAGUAAGUGAGCGGUAGCACUCGAGAUUAGCUGGAGAGCUUCGGUGCUUUAUUUUAGAGACUAAGUAGUGAGUCAAUGCUCUGGUCAUGUAACACUGGGUAGAUUGGUAGUAUGAACUCGUGUCUUAUUUGGAUACGUUUUAUGGUAUUACUUGUGACAUGUUUAAUUGAAGAGAUUAUUGAGAGAUGAUCAGUAUGGGACAUGGAUCAAUUCAUUUUAUGAAAUGCAUGGAUAUUCGUUAUUUUCCGCUGCGAACGCAUAUGCUUGAAUAUUCAUGAUAAUUGAAAUGUGUUAUUUUAAAUGACCAGGUGUAUUGUAUAUUGAUGAUGAAUGAUGUUUAGUUUUGAAAGCUUUUAGUUUUUGAAAACGUCGAUGUGACGCCCUUUUGUUUAUAUGCGUGCUUAUUUACUCUGAUUAUAUGUUAAGUAUUUUGGGGUAGAAAAAGGGGUGUUACACCCCAAGUUUGAUUAUUUGCUGAUAGACGUUGUGUUUGUUCUUGAGAGAACCUCAACUUCUUUGCCUGAUGUGCCUUGAUGGACUGCAAAUGAUUUAAUGAGCGUAGCGACAUAAUCAAUGCAUGGUGAUUGUGCUAUUGCUCUGCCCCAAGGCUCUUUGCAACUUAUCUGCCCCAGUCUGUAGGGUCUUUGAAGGAAUUCUCUUUUGAAAGGAAGCCAUGUGAAUGAUUAUACCAUGGCCUGAACCAAAUUUGCCCCUAGUGUAUGGGUCUUUCAGUAGUUUGCCCCCGGUUGAGCUUCUGAAAGGCAUUGCCCCAGAUUGACUGAGUAUUUUGAAAUUAUUUGCCUCCUUGAUCCACUGAUGCUUGGGUUUUGACUGACCAAUUCAUGGUCAUUGGAUACCAUUCCCCAAAUCCAUAGGGUUUAAGAAGCAGUCUUGAUUUGGGUCAGCAUUGACGAAUGAUCAAGUUCUUCUGAUUGUUCAUUAUUGUUGGAAUUUCUUUGAUGUCAAGUACUUACUUACAAUUUAAAAUUGUUUAUUUAAUCAAUGGUAAUUUUAAUGUAACGUUCAUGCAGGUUUGAAAAA
This 16159-nucleotide long non-coding RNA is filed under the name Lathyrus oleraceus (garden pea). RNAcentral describes it as "Pisum sativum (pea) long non-coding RNA (PSAT_LNC019371)". The record is from RNAcentral. Lineage: Eukaryota; Viridiplantae; Streptophyta; Magnoliopsida; Fabales; Fabaceae.